GAGGGUUUAGCUUAAUCUAAAGUGUCUGUUUUGCAUGCAGAAGAUGUGGAUUGAAGUUCUGCAACCUUUG
Molecule: transfer RNA, 70 nt
Filed under: Macroscelides flavicaudatus (Namib round-eared sengi)
Lineage: Eukaryota; Metazoa; Chordata; Mammalia; Macroscelidea; Macroscelididae
Description: tRNA-Ala
Rfam family: tRNA
About the family: Transfer RNA (tRNA) molecules are approximately 80 nucleotides in length.
Source: RNAcentral